RNAcentral lists this ribosomal RNA (116 nucleotides) under Streptococcus equi subsp. zooepidemicus MGCS10565. Lineage: Bacteria; Bacillati; Bacillota; Bacilli; Lactobacillales; Streptococcaceae. The record is from RNAcentral.
UACCCAUGCCGAACACAGUAGUUAAGCCCUAGAACGCCUGAAGUAGUUGGGGGUUGCCCCCUGUGAGAUACGGAAGUUGCUUAGCUUAGAUCCACUUGGGGGAGUUUAGCUCAGCU